Molecule: ribosomal RNA, 427 nt
Filed under: uncultured bacterium
Lineage: Bacteria
Description: bacterial SSU rRNA
Rfam family: Bacterial small subunit ribosomal RNA
Source: RNAcentral
UAGGGAAUAUUGGACAAUGGGGGCAACCCUGAUCCAGCCAUGCUGCGUGAGUGAAGAAGGCCCUCGGGUUGUAAAGCUCUUUUGUCCGGAAAGAAAAGCAUUCGGUGAAUACCCCGGGGUUCUGACGGUACCGGAAGAAUAAGCACCGGCUAACUUCGUGCCAGCAGCCGCGGUAAUACGAAGGGUGCAAGCGUUACUCGGAAUUACUGGGCGUAAAGCGUGCGUAGGUGGCUGUUUAAGUCUGAUGUGAAAGCCCUGGGCUCAACCUGGGAAUGGCAGUGGAAACUGGGCACCUAUAGUGCGGUAGAGGGUAGUGGAAUGCCCGGUGUAGCAGUGAAAUGCGUAGAGAUCGGGAGGAACAUCUGUGGCGAAGGCGACUGCCUGGACCAGCACUGACACUGAGGCACGAAAGCGUGGGGAGCAAACA